GACGAACGCUGGCGGCGUGCUUAACACAUGCAAGUCGAACGGAAAGGCCCUGCUUUUGUUGUGUGCUCGAGUGGCGAACGGGUGAGUAACACGUGAGUAACCUGCCCUUUACUUUGGGAUAACUUCAGGAAACUGGGGCUAAUACCGGAUAGGAGCUCCUGCUGCAUGGUGGGGGUUGGAAAGUUUCGGCGGUUGGGGAUGGACGCGCGGCUUAUCAGCUUGUUGGUGGGGUAGUGGCUUACCAAGGCUUUGACGGGUAGCCGGCCUGAGAGGGUGACCGGCCACAGUGGGCCUGAGAUACGACCCAGACUCAUACGUGAGGCAUCAGUGGGAACUAUUGCACACUGGGCGGAAGCCGGAUGCAGCAACGUCGCGUGCGGGAUGACGGUCUUCGGGUUGUAAACCGCUUUCGCCUGUGACGAAGCGUGAGUGACGGUAAUGGAUAAAGAAGCACCGGCUAACUACGUG
This 468-nucleotide ribosomal RNA is filed under the name uncultured bacterium. Its description in RNAcentral is "partial 16S ribosomal RNA". It matches the Rfam family "Bacterial small subunit ribosomal RNA", at positions 28 to 507 of the family's 1533-position model. The record is from RNAcentral.